GCUGCGGUAGCCCAGUUGGUAGAGGCGUUAGCAGUACAGAUGCCGAAAGGCGCAGGAUCAAAUCCUGCCCCCAGAG
Non-coding RNA from Phthorimaea operculella (potato tuberworm), 76 nucleotides. NCBI's taxonomy places the organism in Eukaryota, Metazoa, Arthropoda, Insecta, Lepidoptera, Gelechiidae. The record is from the annotation of a GenBank genome assembly.